RNAcentral lists this ribosomal RNA (468 nucleotides) under uncultured bacterium. RNAcentral describes it as "partial 16S ribosomal RNA". It matches the Rfam family "Bacterial small subunit ribosomal RNA", at positions 28 to 507 of the family's 1533-position model. The record is from RNAcentral.
GACGAACGCUGGCGGCGUGCUUAACACAUGCAAGUCGAACGGAAAGGCCCUGCUUUUGUGGGGUGCUCGAGUGGCGAACGGGUGAGUAACACGUGAGUAACCUGCCCUUGACCUUGGGAUAACUUCAGGAAACUGGGGCGAAUACCGGAUAGGAGCACCUGCUGCAUGGUGGGGGUUGGAAAGUGUCGGCGGUUGGGGAUGGACUCGCGGCUUAUCAGCUUGUUGGUGGGGUAGUGGCUUACCAAGGCUUUGACGGGUAGCCGGCCUGAGAGGGUGACCGGCCACAUUGGGACUGAGAUACGGCCCAGACUCCUACGGGAGGCAGCAGUGGGGAAUAUUGCACAAUGGGCGGAAGCCUGAUGCAGCAACGCCGCGUGCGGGAUGACGGCCUUCGGGUUGUAAACCGCUUUCGCCUGUGACGAAGCGUGAGUGACGGUAAUGGGUAAAGAAGCACCGGCUAACUACGUG